GGGAUUAUAGUUCAAUUUGGUUAGAGCGCCGUCCUGUCACGGCGGAAGUUGCGGGUUCGAACCCCGUUAAUCCCG
RNAcentral lists this transfer RNA (75 nucleotides) under Prototheca stagnorum. RNAcentral's name for it is "tRNA-Asp". It matches the Rfam family "tRNA". From Rfam's summary of the family: Transfer RNA (tRNA) molecules are approximately 80 nucleotides in length. Their secondary structure includes four short double-helical elements and three loops (D, anti-codon, and T loops). Further hydrogen bonds mediate the characteristic L-shaped molecular structure. tRNAs have two regions of fundamental functional importance: the anti-codon, which is responsible for specific mRNA codon recognition, and the 3' end, to which the tRNAs corresponding amino acid is attached (by aminoacyl-tRNA synthetases). tRNAs cope with the degeneracy of the genetic code in two manners: having more than one tRNA (with a specific anti-codon) for a particular amino acid; and 'wobble' base-pairing, i.e. permitting non-standard base-pairing at the 3rd anti-codon position. RNAcentral also lists the same sequence under 1 other name. Lineage: Eukaryota; Viridiplantae; Chlorophyta; Trebouxiophyceae; Chlorellales; Chlorellaceae. The record is from RNAcentral.